UUCCAGACUCCUACGGGAGGCAGCAGUGGGGAAUCUUCCGCAAUGGGCGCAAGCCUGACGGAGCAACGCCGCGUGAGUGAAGAAGGUCUUCGGAUCGUAAAGCUCUGUUGAUGGGGACGAACGUGCGAAGGGUGAAUAAUCCUUUGUAAUGACGGUACCUAUCGAGGAAGCCACGGCUAACUACGUGCCAGCAGCCGCGGUAAUACGUAGGUGGCGAGCGUUGUCCGGAAUCAUUGGGCGUAAAGGGAGCGCAGGCGGGCAUGUAAGUCUUUCUUAAAAGUGCGGGGCUCAACCCCGUGAUGGGAAAGAAACUAUGUGUCUUGAGUACAGGAGAGGAAAGCGGAAUUCCCAGUGUAGCGGUGAAAUGCGUAGAUAUUGGGAGGAACACCAGUGGCGAAGGCGGCUUUCUGGACUGCAACUGACGCUGAGGCUCGAAAGCCAGGGGAGCGAACGGGAUUAGAUACCCCGGUAGUCCUGGCCGUAAACGAUGGAUACUAGGUGUGGGAGGUAUCGACCCCUACCGUGCCGGAGUUAACGCAAUAAGUAUCCCGCCUGGGGAGUACGGCCGCAAGGCUGAAACUCAAAGGAAUUGACGGGGGCCCGCACAAG
This 609-nucleotide ribosomal RNA is filed under the name uncultured bacterium. RNAcentral describes it as "bacterial SSU rRNA". It matches the Rfam family "Bacterial small subunit ribosomal RNA", at positions 329 to 929 of the family's 1533-position model. The record is from RNAcentral.